UGGAAAGCAGGCUGUAACCGGCAUGGACUGCAGGAAUAGCCAGACCCAUGAGAAAGGUGAGCAGGAGGCAUGCCCGGAGCCACGGGAAAGUUCUUCUGUGUGACCGGCAUGAUUACUGCGUGGAAGUGAUCCUUCAGCCUGACAGUAUACACGGUCAUGAUUUAUACAGCUUUCCAGCGGUGGUGAAAAGAAGACUUAAAAAGAUAAGAAGGAAAGCCCUGGAGUUUGUGUGAUGUGCCUGUAUACCAAGCUGCGCUUGUGAGUACAAUCACGCGGGAACGGUUGCUGGUGAUUUAUAGUACUUCACUAUUUGCGUAUUUUCUGACAUCCCACAGGAGCCCUGGAUCGGUGAUAGUGGGACCUGAUAAAUUGCUUAUGUUUCCGUAAUUGGAUGUGUCAAGUUUGAAGAAGGUUUAUUCUUCUGGAUAGGGAACGCGCGGUCCCUCAAAAACACAUGUACUGAACUGUGACUUGUACCCACUUCACUCUUGGGAAUCGCUGCGACAUACCAUUGACUACGUAUUGGAGCUACUAUUGUUUUUUUUUUUUUACUAUUUUGUGUAUGACUGGAGGCUGGCAGGCGCGCGCUGGCUCCAGACUCUUCCAGUAUAUUCCUCUCCUAUCAUUUAUGUGGUAACACUUUCUGAUUGCAAGGCUUCACUUCUGUGUUAAAACCUAUUCCCCCAAACACUGCCCCCCGACAUGUUUCACCAGCUGCUAUGGCGUCUUCAGGGGAUCGGGCAGUAUAUGCUUGAUGGGCGUGGCUGGAUCUUUUAAGCACUCUUAUUAUUGCGUCAUCUUCAGUAACCUAUCGCCUCCCGUGAUAAAUCCACCUCGGGGUGUAUUGUUUAAUAUCUCCUCACUUACUGGUGCU
Long non-coding RNA from Bufo gargarizans (Asiatic toad), 874 nucleotides. RefSeq lists it as uncharacterized. The transcript has 3 exons. Lineage: Eukaryota; Metazoa; Chordata; Amphibia; Anura; Bufonidae. The record is from RefSeq and is a predicted model, not a curated record.